AAGUCGUAACAAGGUUUCCGUAGGUGAACCUGCGGAAGGAUCAUUACAUUCAGUAGCUUGCUACUGUUAGGGGGGUCCAUUAGUCUGUAUAGUAUCACUACUGAUGAGCAGCACGACUCCCUGUCUAUACCCUUGUCUUUUGCGCACUCAUGUUUCCUCGGCGGCUUGACACCCGCCGGCUGGAUCAAUCUAUAACCUUUUUAAUUUUCAAUCAGCGUCUGAAAAACCUAACAAUUACAACUUUCAACAACGGAUCUCUUGGUUCUG
This 267-nucleotide unclassified non-coding RNA is filed under the name fungal sp. Its description in RNAcentral is "partial internal transcribed spacer region". The stretch from base 1 to 46 matches the Rfam family "Eukaryotic small subunit ribosomal RNA", at positions 1786 to 1831 of the family's 1831-position model. Lineage: Eukaryota; Fungi. The record is from RNAcentral.